GUAACGCGUGGGUAACCUGCCUCAUACACAUGGAUAACAUACCGAAAGGUAUGCUAAUACAAGAUGAUAUAAGAGAUUCGCAUGGAUUUCUUAUCAAAGCUUUUGCGGUAUGAGAUGGACCCGCGUCUGAUUAGCUAGUUGGUAAGGUAAUGGCUUACCAAGGCGACGAUCAGUAGCCGACCUGAGAGGGUGAUCGGCCGCAUUGGAACUGAGACACGGUCCAAACUCCUACGGGAGGCAGCAUG
RNAcentral lists this ribosomal RNA (245 nucleotides) under uncultured bacterium. RNAcentral's name for it is "partial 16S ribosomal RNA". It matches the Rfam family "Bacterial small subunit ribosomal RNA", at positions 110 to 353 of the family's 1533-position model. The record is from RNAcentral.